RNAcentral lists this ribosomal RNA (406 nucleotides) under uncultured bacterium. Its description in RNAcentral is "partial 16S ribosomal RNA". It matches the Rfam family "Bacterial small subunit ribosomal RNA", at positions 30 to 526 of the family's 1533-position model. The record is from RNAcentral.
AUUGAACGCUGGCGGCAGGCCUAACACAUGCAAGUCGAACGAGUGGCGGAAGGGUGAGUAAUGUCUGGGAAACUGCAUGAUGGAGGGGGAUAACUACUGGAAACGGGAGCUAAUACCGCAUACAAUCGGAUGUGCCCCGAUGGGAUUAGAUAGAAGGUGGGGUAACGGCUAACCUAGGCGACGAUCCCUAGCUGGUCUUAGAGGAUGAACAGCCCCACGGUAUCUUAGACACGGUCCCGACUCCUACGUGAGUCAGCAGUGGGGAAUAUUGCACAAUGGGCUCAAGCCUUAUGCAGCCAUGCCGCGUGUAUUAAGAAGGCCUUCGGGUUUUAAAGUACUUUCAGCGGGGAGGCGUUACCCGCAGAAGAAGCACCGGCUAACUCCGUGCCAGCAGCCGCGGUAAUUC